RNAcentral lists this ribosomal RNA (253 nucleotides) under uncultured bacterium. RNAcentral describes it as "partial 16S ribosomal RNA". It matches the Rfam family "Bacterial small subunit ribosomal RNA", at positions 524 to 776 of the family's 1533-position model. The record is from RNAcentral.
UACGAAGGGGGCUAGCGUUGCUCGGAAUCACUGGGCGUAAAGCGCACGUAGGCGGAUCGUUAAGUCGGGGGUGAAAUCCUGGAGCUCAACUCCAGAACUGCCUUCGAUACUGGCGAUCUCGAGUCCGGAAGAGGUGAGUGGAACUCCUAGUGUAGAGGUGGAAUUCGUAGAUAUUAGGAAGAACACCAGUGGCGAAGGCGGCUCACUGGUCCGGUACUGACGCUGAUGUGCGAAAGCGUGGGGAGCAAACAGG